AAUCUAAUUAAAUCUUGACAAAUAAAAAAUAUUAUCUAAAAUCAUGGAAAUCAUGACAAAUAAGCCAAAUCACUUCAUAAAUAAUAGUAUAGAUUAUCCAUUAAUAACUAUUUACCUAUGUUAUAUUUGUAAAAAGAAAAUUCCCAUGCGAAGCAUGGGCUCAAACUAGUAUAUACAUAAACCCUGUAUUUACUCCACCCAUAAACCCUAAAUACUAAAUCAGCAAGUCGAUCGAUUCUCUCUCGGAAGCUCUUCUUCAGUUGUGACCGUGAGUGCUCAUUGAGGUAUCAUAUCAUCUUCUUCUUCUCUUCUUCAAGAGCAUAAAGACUAGUGUUUUUUAUCAAUUCAUCAAUGCCCUUCUAGUGUUUUUUUUUUUUGCUUGCUUCGUAAUCUUACAGGUGUUUCUUGUAUCUCUUGAAAUAAGGACUUGUGUCUUAACAUCAAACUUGUUUGAUUUGUUUUUUCAGAUGCUUCAGAUUGCUUUUUAUUUGUCAUGUGGUGCCACAGCAUGUUACCUUUGGGGCCGGAGGAUUAAAGCGUUAGUCUUUUCCUCUUCCCAACCCUUUUGGAUUUUGAAUGUGUUGAAACACCUUUUAUCAAUCGAUAUGUGUGUUUGUGUUCCUGCGAUGGUGCAGGAAAGCUGACUCUUUUAGCAGUAUCACACGUGUGGUGGACUUCAAACGGUUAGGUGUGUUUUCUGUUUUAUAGUUAAGACUCUUGUUAUUAUUAUUUUAUUAAUUGGUUUCUGAUUACAAGUGAUCAUCAUGUUUUUUUCCUUCUCUUAGAUGAGCUGCUUAAAGAGAAAGCCUCGAAGCUCCUUGUUGUUGUGUCGGGAAAAGUUGCUUCUGCACUCCUUUGGGUGCUGUUUUUUAUGCUAAGGUAAAAGACUUCUUUUAUCUUCUAAAAAGUUGUCGUCAGCAUCAUCGUUCUCUGGUCUGGUGGUGUUAUUUUUAGUUAGAACAACAUGUAUACUGUGUCUUUCAGGCCGAAAUGGGGUGUACUGAGACCGAGUUGGGGGAUGAUGGUAGCGCUUGGAUAACAAAGUCUCAUAAUUUUCUGUUUCAAGUAAAGCGUUGUCCUUGGUAUCUUGUAAGUUACAUUCUCAAAUACCUUCAUUUUUUUUUUUGCUAUGUCUUGCCUGCCCCUCAUGACUUGAAGCCUACCUCUUUCUCUCGCUCGCUCAAUCAACUAUUUAGGAAGACAGUACUGGUGUGGUGAAAGUAGUGGGAGCUGAAGCUGCUGAUGACUUUCUUGAUACUCUGACACCGCAUUUGGAUAUGUCACUAAGUGAAAUCUUUGGUAGUAUUGUAGAACCUAAACAAGGCUCUCAGGUUACCUUUUCUCUUUCAUUUUUUUUUUGUCUUUCUCUGUUUAUUUUAGUCUUUUUCAUUGGGUUGGAACCAACAGUGUGAUUGUUUUCAUCUCUAGACGAUUUUUCGGGCUUCUCUCGAUACUGGUACCUCCUUAACUAUUAUUGGCGAGGUAAAGGAAGCCCCCAUGUGUUUAUUCUUUAUAUUGUGGAUCAUGUAAGAGUGGCUGUGCAAGCUAAUAUAAGUUGAUGUGUCUGUGUCCUUGUCUGUACUGUAGGCUGCUAGAGACGAAGCUGGUAAUCUCACGAUUCAAAACACCAAUGAACAGCCUUUUAGGAUCUUCAGUGGAGAGGGCUCGUUUGAUAAAAUGGUUGCCAACUUGAAGUCAAAUUCAGAGUUUUAUUUUUUCUAUUCCAAGAUCUUUGGAACUAUUGCUUUUGCUAUAGUUGUUUUUAAAGGCGUGAGUUUCAUACGAAGGGUUUUACGUGAGAGAGCAGAUAAUGCUGAUUCAGACGACGAAGAAACGCCAUGAGGGAGUAGAAUCAGACAACAGUAGUUUAUAGGAUCAGCUUUAAAGGCUCAGGCAGAAGAAUCAGACACCAAUGAUUUAUAACUAGGAUAGAUUUUUUAUCUAUGGUAUUGGGUAGGCAAAAUGUUUAUGAAUAUUUUAACAAACCAUCGUUUCUUAUUCUGACAGAUGAACAAAUUUAAAAAAAAAUUAUAUUGUCCAAAUUAACUAUGUGAUUCUAUUA
This is a long non-coding RNA of Brassica napus (rape), 2062 nucleotides long. RefSeq lists it as uncharacterized. The record is from RefSeq and is a predicted model, not a curated record. Lineage: Eukaryota; Viridiplantae; Streptophyta; Magnoliopsida; Brassicales; Brassicaceae. The transcript has 2 exons.